Astatotilapia calliptera (eastern happy) is the source of this 1528-nucleotide long non-coding RNA. The record is from Ensembl. Lineage: Eukaryota; Metazoa; Chordata; Actinopteri; Cichliformes; Cichlidae.
GUAUAUUAUCUACAUAUGCUCAUUUUUAGCAACAAUUACCUGCACUCCAGUGUUCUCUACUGCACGUUUAUGUUAUUAAAAUAAAAAACAACAGCUACAGUUGUAAUCAGAUUGUUUUUUUCUGUAGAUUUUUAGUAAACAUCCUCUAAUGUAGAAAUAGAUAGAGUCAAUCAAGUUUAAUGUAAAUCAUUGUUAGUGGAAUGCCAGACAGUUGCAAAGACAAAUGAGAUACAUAUUAUGCCAUUCAUUUCUUGACCUGAAUCAAGGAAUUUUCUCCAAAGCUAAGAUUUUCAGAACUUUCCAUACUAACAAAUGCUUAUAUGAUUAAAAAAAAACAUUAAGCAGGUUUACAGGUAAAGCUUUUCAGUGUAUCUGCUUGUGUAGUUUCUGUAACUAAAGGCAAUUAAAACAACUUAAAUGGUGCCCUGACUCAAUAAGAAUUCUUUUUUCAUCUUUUUUUAAUAUAUAGUUGCUCUUUUAUUUCUCAAAGCUCACACAAUAAUGCAUAAAACAUACAUUCACCACGGUCACCUAACUGAACAGUCCGUGAGUGCUUUACAUCCACUACCGAGCUAAUAGGCCCUCAGGAUGGUGUUUACGUUCACUUUCACUCAACUAUUAAGAUAUCAUGUUUCAGGAUUGGCAUUUAUAACGCAGCAGGCCAGUGCCUCUGUACAGCAGACUUACAGGGACGAAACAUUAGACUAUUGUGUUCCUUCUCCUCCAAAACAGUAAAACAGCUCGUUUUAUUCAGUCAAAUUGCUGAAGGGUGGAUUUACUCUCUCGCCUGUUGUACCAUAGAAAGAGGUAAAAAAAAAAUAAAAAAAAUAAAAACUUCUCCAAGCAUCGCAACAGCAUUUUCACCCACUCACUUCCCACCCUUAACAACAUCAAACACGCAAGAACGCUUUUAUAUGCAAAUACUUUUGCUACGUUCUGCAUUUUAAUACCAUGUAUAUUUGCUUCCCUAAAAACUGAAUGCAAAUUCCAAUCCAUCUGAUCGACAGCAUAUUUUAUGAAACAAUAUAAAUAAGCAGCAGACUUUACAUAUGCCAUAAGCAUCUUGAGCUUACUGUGCUGUAUGUAUGUGUGACUAUGUAUGAGAGUACGUCUUGUUUUGCAACUCAGUGCUGUAGUGCCAUCUAGUGGUUGUGAGCUGUAGCUGUUAAAAUCGCUUCUGGAGACACAAACGAACACUGGCACACAAAAACCUUUCUGUCCUCUCCGGUUUUUACUAGUCACGCAGUCUGGUUUCUGUCCAGCAAUCCACGAAGGGAUACUUUGGGAUCGUUUGGGCCCGAGCUGCCCUCUUAUGGAAGGUUAGACAGGACACAGGCAAACUAAACACCACCACCUCUUGCUCCCUUGGGGUGAAAUGAAAAACCGUUUCCUUCAAUCCUACUGGGACAUGAAAUGAAAUAGGUACGUGUGUGUGUGUAUCUGAGUGUGUGCAAAAGUGGAAGGUUGCACUACUACUGCCCAGAAGAUAACUCAUUAUUGUACUUAACAGUGACAAUCUAUUCCUCUG